This 106-nucleotide non-coding RNA is filed under the name Candidatus Brocadia. Its description in RNAcentral is "c-di-GMP sequence". It matches the Rfam family "c-di-GMP-I-GGC riboswitch aptamer". The record is from RNAcentral. Lineage: Bacteria; Pseudomonadati; Planctomycetota; Candidatus Brocadiia; Candidatus Brocadiales; Candidatus Brocadiaceae. RNAcentral also lists the same sequence under 1 other name.
CGCGAUAAAGGCAAACCCUGAGCAAUCAGGGGGACGCAAAGUGAAGGGUCUUUAAAAUAUUUUCCUGCCCUCGCAGGAAAAUAUAAAGAUAGCCUUACUGCCGAAG